CCAACUUCGGUUAUAAGAUCCCUCAAAGAUGAUGAGGUUAAUAGGUUCGAGGUGGAAGCAUGGUGACAUGUGGAGCUGACGAAUACUAAUCGAUCGAAGACUUAAUCAA
RNAcentral lists this ribosomal RNA (109 nucleotides) under Staphylococcus aureus. Its description in RNAcentral is "partial 23S ribosomal RNA". It matches the Rfam family "Bacterial large subunit ribosomal RNA", at positions 2815 to 2925 of the family's 2925-position model. The record is from RNAcentral. Lineage: Bacteria; Bacillati; Bacillota; Bacilli; Caryophanales; Staphylococcaceae.